RNAcentral lists this transfer RNA (74 nucleotides) under Phrynosoma platyrhinos (Desert horned lizard). RNAcentral describes it as "tRNA-OTHER". Lineage: Eukaryota; Metazoa; Chordata; Lepidosauria; Squamata; Phrynosomatidae. The record is from RNAcentral.
ACCAGCGUGGCACAGUGGUUUUUGAGUGUUGGACUACGACUCUGGAAACCAGGGUUCGAUUCCCAGCUCGGUCA